Sapajus apella (tufted capuchin) is the source of this 1344-nucleotide long non-coding RNA. RefSeq lists it as uncharacterized. The record is from RefSeq and is a predicted model, not a curated record. The transcript is spliced from 2 exons. NCBI's taxonomy places the organism in Eukaryota, Metazoa, Chordata, Mammalia, Primates, Cebidae.
CUGGGAUUACAGGCUUGAGCCACCGCGCCCGGCCUUCAUUGACCUGUUCUAAAUUUUUUAUGCAUUCAUUCUGAUACUGUGUGAAAGUGAUUAAUUUACUGGGGACAUUUGCAUUAAUAAAAAUGCAAUCCUAGGUAGCUGCUGCUUUCCAGGGACCACAGGUGCUUUCUCAUGGCAGGAGCAUAGAGUGGAAGGUGAUGGCUGGUGGAUGAUAUAGUGGGCAAGGCCUGUGGAAGCUGUUCCUGCUGCUCUUAGACUUGUGCUAGAGUUCUAAGCAUGAUCAGACUGGGCUUUAGAAAGCUCAUCUCUGGUGGUGGUUGGAGAGUGGAACAGUGCAGCAAAGACAGGCAUUCAGUCAGGAGGUCCCAUUACUCUGCGAUCAGCCUUAGGAAGGCCAACAUUCAAACACUGGGGUGGCCCUGCCACUGGCCCUUCAUCAUCUAGACCAGUAGUUUUCAAACCUUAAAGUGUUUACAGAUCAUCUGAGGAGAUUCUGAUUCAGUUGCUGGAGUGGGGCGUGAAAUUCUGCAUUUCCAGUUGUCUCCCAGGUGGUGCUGGAUCUCUGGACUACCAGAAGCAGCUGGAGUACCUGCUUUUGGAAGAACUGGGAACCAGCCAAAUCCAGCAAAUUCGGGCCUAGAAUUCAGUGCAGAGGCCUAGGAAGGUUACCAAGUUAUUAGCUUAAGAUUCAGAGUAAAAAUGGAGUGAGCUGCAAGGCUGACUGAUGCAGAGCUCUUCGGAACUGGGGCUCUCCAUGCCCUGUUGUGUCCCCUGCCUGAUGGAAGGAAAAGUGGAUGCUUAGUGGUUGGGUGGAAACUAAGUAAGCCUGGAGUAGGAAUUGGAGGGCAAGCAGGCUUGAUGGUGUGGAGAACCUGCCGAGCUACAGGUCUUUCAGCCGGUUCAGAGUCCUGGUUUCUUAACCUGACACUGACCCGUCCUAUUUUUGGCUGUGAUCUCUCCUUGUACUUCACGGCCAGAGCCGGAGGUGCUGUCCAGUCUGAGCUGGGGCACAGGCCAUUGACCUGGGGCUGCAGAGACCCAGAUGCUGGUUGAGGAAAAUGGAAAAUAACUGGUUCUGCAGGUACCUAUUUAUUAUUCUUUAAUUAUUUACAGAUUACAACCUCUGGCUCAAGGAAAAGUGUCAUUUACAUUAUGUUAAAAAGAUGUCAACGCUGUGUUUGCACAGAAAAGACAAUUUUGAAAAAUGCAGAAAAUUAAGAGAGAAAAAAUUUACCCAGAUUCCGCUAUCGACAGAAAACGUCUAAACAUUUAUUGUUUUGUUUUAUCCUCUAGUCAUUUGUUUGUAUAUGAAUAAGUGACUUUUUGAAAAAAUAUAUUUUGUAA